This 76-nucleotide transfer RNA is filed under the name Streptomyces sp. NBC_00162. Its description in RNAcentral is "tRNA-Leu". It matches the Rfam family "tRNA". Rfam says of the family: Transfer RNA (tRNA) molecules are approximately 80 nucleotides in length. Their secondary structure includes four short double-helical elements and three loops (D, anti-codon, and T loops). Further hydrogen bonds mediate the characteristic L-shaped molecular structure. tRNAs have two regions of fundamental functional importance: the anti-codon, which is responsible for specific mRNA codon recognition, and the 3' end, to which the tRNAs corresponding amino acid is attached (by aminoacyl-tRNA synthetases). tRNAs cope with the degeneracy of the genetic code in two manners: having more than one tRNA (with a specific anti-codon) for a particular amino acid; and 'wobble' base-pairing, i.e. permitting non-standard base-pairing at the 3rd anti-codon position. Lineage: Bacteria; Bacillati; Actinomycetota; Actinomycetes; Kitasatosporales; Streptomycetaceae. The record is from RNAcentral. RNAcentral also lists the same sequence under 10 other names.
GCGCCCGUACGCGACCUGGUUAGCGGUGGUCUUUAGGUGGCCACGUAUGUCGGUUCGAAUCCGACCGGGCGUACCA